UGGAGUUGGAGAGGGAGAACUGUGGCGUCGGUGGUUGUUUGGUUUAGAGGUCACCGAGAGAGAGUGAGAGAAGGGAAAAAAGGUGGUCGACAGCUUAGCUGGUUUCGCCGGCAGCAGUUGAGCAGUGGCGGGAGAUGGUGGUGUCUCUAGUAGGGAAAAAGUUGUUAGUAGGUGGAUUUUUCUGGUGAAGUCGAUAGAUUGGUGGAGUCGUGGUGGUCGGUGGUUGGGUUUAGAGAGAGAGGAUGAGAGAAGAGAGAGACAUGAAAUGGGGGGUG
Molecule: long non-coding RNA, 275 nt
Filed under: Capsicum annuum
Lineage: Eukaryota; Viridiplantae; Streptophyta; Magnoliopsida; Solanales; Solanaceae
Description: long non-coding RNA (CANN_LNC001616)
Source: RNAcentral